RNAcentral lists this small RNA (411 nucleotides) under Olea europaea subsp. europaea. Lineage: Eukaryota; Viridiplantae; Streptophyta; Magnoliopsida; Lamiales; Oleaceae. The record is from RNAcentral.
GAAAAGGUCCAUGUGGUUCAAUUAUUAAAUGGCAACUUUACAUACAGAAGUUAUUAACUGGCAACCUUUCAUGCAAUUGUGAUGGACAAGUGAAUAUGAAUUUGAGAUGUCAACCAAUCAUUGUAUUCUUUCAUGUUUAUAUUGCUUCAAAUUCAAGAAACAAACUUAUUCGAAUUAAGUUUUGUAUUGCUACGUAAUUAUGAAUGAUUUCUAGAAAAUUGCAGUAUAUGAUAUAUGGCAGAAAAUUGCAGUCCUUAUUUGGUACGUGUAUUCACGAUAAUAAUUUUGGUUUGAAAAAAUCAUUUUUCUUCCGGUUAAUUGGCAAGUGGUACAUGCUCAAAUAACUAUAUUGGAAGAUAUGUGGAGAUUGCAAUAUUAUUAUUAUGAAAAGGCAUGUUGGGUGUUAACUUA